UAACGGAAUGUUUAUAAAUUAUAAACUUUGGAAAACACAUUGACCAAUUUAGCUAAAUUUUUUUCUCAGUGACCAAAUUGAAUUUCCAUGUAAAACUUAGUGACCAAAAAUGUAUUUAAUCCUUUUUCUUUUUCCUAGUUGUUGAUGAAAACGUCCUCAACCACACAUUUUUCACUUGUCGUAAAGUUUCACUUUUCUUCUCUCAAUUUUUAAAAACUUUG
This 221-nucleotide long non-coding RNA is filed under the name Prunus persica (peach). RNAcentral describes it as "long non-coding RNA (PPER_LNC008276)". Lineage: Eukaryota; Viridiplantae; Streptophyta; Magnoliopsida; Rosales; Rosaceae. The record is from RNAcentral.